GACGAACGCUGGCGGCGUGCUUAACACAUGCAAGUCGAACGGAAAGGCCCUGCUUUUGUGGGGUGCUCGAGUGGCGAACGGGUGAGUAACACGUGAGUAACCUGCCCUUGACUUUGGGAUAACUUCAGGAAACUGGGGCUAAUACCGGAUAGGAGCUCCUGCUGCAUGGUGGGGGUGGGAUAGUUUCGGCGGUUGGGGAUGGACUCGCGGCUUAUCAGCUUGUUGGUGGGGUAGUGGCUUACCAAGGCUUGGACGGGUAGCCGGCCUGAGAGGGUGACCGGCGACACUAGGACUGAGAUACGGCCCAGACUCCUACGGGAGGCAGCGGAGGGGAAUAGUGUACAAUGGGCGGAAGCCUGAUGCAGCAACGCAGCGUGCGGGAUGACGGCCUGCGGGUUGUAAACCGCAGUCGCCUGUGACGAAGCGAGAGUGACGGUAAUGGGAAAAGAAGCACCGGCUAACUACGUG
This 468-nucleotide ribosomal RNA is filed under the name uncultured bacterium. RNAcentral's name for it is "partial 16S ribosomal RNA". It matches the Rfam family "Bacterial small subunit ribosomal RNA", at positions 28 to 507 of the family's 1533-position model. The record is from RNAcentral.